RNAcentral lists this ribosomal RNA (461 nucleotides) under uncultured bacterium. Its description in RNAcentral is "partial 16S ribosomal RNA". It matches the Rfam family "Bacterial small subunit ribosomal RNA", at positions 338 to 794 of the family's 1533-position model. The record is from RNAcentral.
CCUACGGGAGGCAGCAGUGAGGAAUAUUGGUCAAUGGACGCAAGUCUGAACCAGCCAAGUAGCGUGCAGGAUGACGGCCCUCCGGGUUGUAAACUGCUUUUAGUUGGGAAUAAAAGGGGGCUCGUGAGCCCCGUAUUGUAUGUACCAUCAGAAAAAGGACCGGCUAAUUCCGUGCCAGCAGCCGCGGUAAUACGGAAGGUCCGGGCGUUAUCCGGAUUUAUUGGGUUUAAAGGGAGCGUAGGCCGGCUUUUAAGUCAGCUGUGAAAGUCCGCGGCUCAACCGUGGAAUUGCAGUUGAAACUGGCGCUCUUGAGUGGAAGAGAAGUAUGCGGAAUGCGGGGUGUAGCGGUGAAAUGCAUAGAUAUCACGCAGAACCCCGAUUGCGAAGGCAGCAUGCCGGCUUCCGACUGACGCUGAAGCACGAAAGCGUGGGGAUCGAACAGGAUUAGAUACCCUAGUAGU